Molecule: ribosomal RNA, 433 nt
Filed under: uncultured bacterium
Lineage: Bacteria
Description: partial 16S ribosomal RNA
Rfam family: Bacterial small subunit ribosomal RNA
Source: RNAcentral
AACGAACGCUGGCGGCAUGCCUAACACAUGCAAGUCGAACGAGACCUUCGGGUCUAGUGGCGCACGGGUGCGUAACGCGUGGGAACCUGCCCUUAGGUUCGGAAUAACUCCCCGAAAGGGGUUCUAAUACCGGAUAAUGUCUUCGGACCAAAGAUUUAUCGCCUUUGGAUGGGCCCGCGGUGGAUUAGCUAGUUGGUAGGGUAAAAGCCUACCAAGGCGACGAUCCAUAGCUGGUCUGAGAGGAUGAUCAGCCACACUGGGACUGAGACACGGCCCAGACUCCUACGGGAGGCAGCAGUGGGGAAUAUUGGACAAUGGGCGAAAGCCUGAUCCAGCAAUGCCGCGUGAGUGAUGAAGGCCUUAGGGUUGUAAAGCUCUUUUACCCGGGAUGAUAAUGACAGUACCGGGAGAAUAAGCUCCGGCUAACUCCGUG